This is a transfer RNA of Camelus ferus (Wild Bactrian camel), 72 nucleotides long. It matches the Rfam family "tRNA". Rfam says of the family: Transfer RNA (tRNA) molecules are approximately 80 nucleotides in length. Their secondary structure includes four short double-helical elements and three loops (D, anti-codon, and T loops). The record is from Rfam. NCBI's taxonomy places the organism in Eukaryota, Metazoa, Chordata, Mammalia, Artiodactyla, Camelidae.
GAGAGCAUGGCUCAGUGAUAAAGCACAUGCUUAGCAUGCAUGAGGUCCUGGGUUCAAUCCUCAGCACUUCCA